This 401-nucleotide ribosomal RNA is filed under the name uncultured bacterium. RNAcentral's name for it is "partial 16S ribosomal RNA". It matches the Rfam family "Archaeal small subunit ribosomal RNA", at positions 473 to 873 of the family's 1478-position model. The record is from RNAcentral.
ACACCGGCAGCUCUAGUGGUAGCUGUUUUUAUUGGGCCUAAAGCGUUCGUAGCCGGUUUGGUAAGUCACUGGUGAAAUCCUGUAGCUUAACUAUGGGAAUUGCUGGUGAUACUGUUGAACUUGAGGUCGGGAGAGGUUAGCGGUACUCCCAGGGUAGAGGUGAACUUCUGUAAUCCUGGGAGGACCACCUGUGGCGAAGGCGGCUACUUGGAACGAACCUGACGGUGAGGGGCGAAAGCUAGGGGCGCGCACCGGAUUAGAUACCCGGGUAGUCCUAGCCGUAAACGAUGCGGACUUGGUGUUGGGAUGGCUUUGAGCCGCUCCGGUGCCGAAGGGAAGCUGUUAAGUCCGCCGCCUGGGAAGUACGGUCGCAAGACUGAAACUUAAAGGAAUUGGCGGGG